This 528-nucleotide long non-coding RNA is filed under the name Anas platyrhynchos platyrhynchos (common mallard). RNAcentral describes it as "lncRNA (ENSAPLG00000022226.1)". The record is from RNAcentral. Lineage: Eukaryota; Metazoa; Chordata; Aves; Anseriformes; Anatidae.
AUGUUAAAUCCCUGCUUUUCUCCAAAUCUCCCUCUCUGGAAUGUGGCUGAUUUGGCAGACCUGCAUAAACACAUGGAAAAACAGCAGCAAGUAAGUAACAUGGGUAAUCUCUGCACUGCAUUUGAACUUUGUGUUAGUUGGCCUAUUUUAGCCUUGGAUAAAAGCUUUUCUUCCAGCUCUACAGCACGAGGACAUCCACUGUGUCUCCUGGAGUUGCAGACUACUCCUUGCCACUGCUGGUGGGGCCAGCCCCUGAGAUCUGGGCUUUGCUCUCACACACGCUUUCACUAUCAUCUGAGACAUAUUGUGCAGGCAAAACCAGACUGCCCCAGAGUGCAGAGGAUCACCCGGAGCGGAGGCAACCAGGAUACGUGCCUUGGUCUGGAAGGUGUGGGGGUGUUCCUGUGCUCCCAGCAAAGACAGGGGCAGGAGAGCCUGCAAUCUCUGUGUGACUCUCUCCCUCAGCAGCAGGAUGAAGAUGAAGAUUUCCUUUUGCUGUCAUGUCAGACAAGAGGGGAAGAUGGCUGA